GACUAAAAUAAAAAAGAAAAGACAUUAAAAGAGGACAAUUUUGUUGUCUUCUGCAUAACAUUAAAAAUAGCCUCAAGUAUUGCUACGUUAAUGUACACAUCAAGAAAUUCACUGACGAAAUAAUUCUAAAUUGUUUCAAUUUAUAAUCAUUUCAACUCAUACAAAUAUUAAAACGAGAUAUUCGUUUUCAGGGCUAAUACUUGGGUUUUACUCUUUUUCCUUGUCAGUUUGUAAGGAAAGUUGUAAUUUGUUUGCAGUAAUUUGUCGUUAUUGUGUUU
RNAcentral lists this long non-coding RNA (278 nucleotides) under Carica papaya (papaya). RNAcentral's name for it is "long non-coding RNA (CPAP_LNC002629)". Lineage: Eukaryota; Viridiplantae; Streptophyta; Magnoliopsida; Brassicales; Caricaceae. The record is from RNAcentral.